Molecule: long non-coding RNA, 1667 nt
Filed under: Ananas comosus (pineapple)
Lineage: Eukaryota; Viridiplantae; Streptophyta; Magnoliopsida; Poales; Bromeliaceae
Description: long non-coding RNA (ACOM_LNC002540)
Source: RNAcentral
AACCGCUUUCUGAUCUUUUAUUAUAAUAUUCUUUAAAAAAAAUUUCGGUAAUUACUCCUAACGAUACAACGACCACGUUCCACCUCGUCGGCACUCUUUCAAGAUGGUGCAAGACGAAGCCAACCAGCUUCAGAUCCAGCAAAAAAAAAAAACUCGGCGAAAAUCCAGAAAGUGAGAGGCUUUAGGUAUGCUCGGAUUAUUAUUAUUUAACUCGUGCAAUUUCGCUCCAUAUUUAUAAUCUAGAAGAGAAUUUUGCUUUAACGCGUCAAAUCCGUAUAGAAUAAGAUAAGAUUAAGAUUAUACGGAUAAGGAUUAGGAUUAGGAUUAGUAAAAAGAUAAAUAUUAAAAUAAACAUAAAACCGACAAAAUAAAAUAAACCGGGUGUAUGUACCGCGCGCGCCGCCGCCGUUACCCACUCGGCUCGUGCCGUGCGUGUGUGUAUUUAAACAAGAGCAUUACUCUCAUUUUCUUUCAAGCAACUAAUUUAAGAAUAAAGUAAUAUAUAAAAACCACAAACACCAUUUUCGUUUCCAAUGUGGGACUAAACAUCUCAAAUGAAAAUUUUAGUUGGGCUCCCCAAGCGGCCCAUUAACAAUUAUUGGACUCUCAAGAGACUUUAAUAAGUUUUAAAUCAUAACAAACCCAAUAAAAUCCAAUAGAACCUUGGAAAUAUAUUUUUAUUUUUAUUAUAUAUAAGAGCGUAUAGGAAUUCCGACAAUGACAGACGGAAUCCAAAAAUAAAUAAAAUAAUAUUCCCUACAAAUGAUUCUGAUUAAUUUGUUAAAAUUAUCCAAAAUAAAAAAGAACGAUUAUGAUCAAUCUAUUAAAUCUCUACUAUAUAUAAAAAUCUAUUCCCUACAAAUAGUUAUGAUUAAUUUGUUAAAAAACUAUUUUACAUUAAAAUUAAUAUUUGAGUUUAAAUUAUGAAUUAAAUUUAAUAUUUGAUAUCAAAUUUGAAUUAACAAUUAAUUUUUUUUAUUACAGAUCAAAAUUAAAUUUUAAAUUUUAAAAUAAAUGUGAAUUAUAUUUUGAUGCGUUUAGUUUAAAACACAUAUUUAAAAAAGAAUACGGUAGGAUAUUAUAAAUAUUUUCUAAUAAAAUAUAACAUAUUAAUUUAUAAAUAUAAUUUUUAUUGUAAAAUUUUGUAUAUAUAUAAUGUACAAAUUUAUAUUGAUUUAAAAUAAAUUAUAAUAAUUAUUACGUACAUUUGCACGUACAUUCAACUAGUAUAUAUAAAGAGAGAUAGAGAGUAGAUCUUUUGUGCUAUAAUUAGGAGCACGGAGGUCUUGCUGCGACUAAGUCGUUUUGGAUGAAGGAGCUACCAAGUUGUUUUCAAUGACGUGGCUUCCAAAUCGACGAUCCAUUCCGUUAGACUUGAUCUACACUAUUAAAAAUAUUUGAAAACUAAAUUUCAUAAUUUUUUGACAUCAUUUGGCUAGUGAUCAAAAUGUCUUAAGAUGGACAAUUUUAAUGGUAAAUGUGAUGCAUUUGUAAAUUUAACGGUGUAAACAAUUCAAAUAUUUUGAGACCUUUUGAUCACUAGCCAAAUGAUGUCAAAAAAUUAUGAAAUUUAGUUUCUAAAUAUUUUUAAUAUUUGGACACUAUACCAGUCUAGUUAUCGAUAUUAUACCAGUCUAGCUAUAUAUUUAUAUAUAUGAGUAAUGUUA